UGAGGAAUAUUGGGCAAUGCCCGCAAGGGUGACCCAGCAACGCCGCGUGGAGGAUGAAUGUCGUAAGAUUGUAAACUCCUGUUAGAGGGGAAGAAUAGUACCGGUUGGACCGGUAUAUGACUGUACCCUCAGAGAAAGCCCCGGCUAACUACGUGCCAGCAGCCGCGGUAAUACGUAGGGGGCAAGCGUUGUCCGGAUUUACUGGGUGUAAAGGGCGCGCAGGCGGGAUAAAAAGUCAGUGGUGAAAUCCUACAGCUUAACUGUAGAACUGCCUUUGAUACUUUUAUUCUUGAGUUCGGGAGAGAGAGACGGAAUUCCAGGUGUAGUGGUGAAAUACGUAGAUAUCUGGAAGAACACCAGUUGCGAAGGCGGUCUCUUGGUCCGACACUGACGCUGAGGCGCGAAAGCGUGGGGAGCAGACA
This 422-nucleotide ribosomal RNA is filed under the name uncultured bacterium. RNAcentral describes it as "bacterial SSU rRNA". It matches the Rfam family "Bacterial small subunit ribosomal RNA", at positions 355 to 774 of the family's 1533-position model. The record is from RNAcentral.